This 222-nucleotide unclassified non-coding RNA is filed under the name uncultured Actinomycetes bacterium. RNAcentral's name for it is "uncultured actinobacterium contains 16S-23S intergenic spacer region". The record is from RNAcentral. Lineage: Bacteria; Bacillati; Actinomycetota; Actinomycetes.
UCCGGUUUGGCACCGGCAGUCUCCCAUGAGUCCCCGGCAUGACCCGCUGGCAACAUGGAACAGGGGUUGCGCUCGUUGCGCCACUUAAGGCAACACCUCACGGCACGAGCUGACGACAGCCAUGCAGCACCUGUGCAGGCUCCCGAAGGAGCGCCGGCUUUCACCGGUUUCACCCUGCAUGUCAAGCCCUGGUAAGGUGGGGAUGACGUCUCUAGGAGGGUG